CACUUCUUUCCCACUGUUGAAAGCUUCGAAUAGUAUCAUCUUCUCCAUCUCUUCUUAUACUCAACUAUCAUUGAAAUUAUCCACCAAAUCGCUUUAAAUCACCAUUUUCGUCCCUAAUUUGAGCUGCCCAAAAUAUUUGGACAGCUUUAUUGACCUCACAGAGAGCAAAAAUCCCUAGAUUAAUGCAAACUUGCUCACUAGCACGAACACGGAAAAUUGGCCUUGAAUUUUGGGAGAAAGCUAGAGUUCGAAGAUUAAAUGUUGAGGAAAACAAGAGCUAGGGGAGUGAAGGCAUAAUUUGAGGUAAAUAAUCUCAAUAUUUUCGAUAUUUUUUGUCAAAUACAGGUAGGGUAGACUGAAUCUUGAAUUUGUGGUCCCAAUUUUCCACUUAAAUCUUUCAAUGGUGAGAGAUUGAGAGAGUUGUGAGAGUGAAACGAAGUGAAAGAGAGGGUCUCCAGCUAUUAUCCCCUCUUCUUUCUUGAGUCAUGCAUUCUUGUUGAGGCCCAACUCAAACCCUUUUUUCUUUUAAAACUUCCAACUCAGUUUGUAAAGUCCACGUUAAACAAUUCUUUGUGGAAUUUUAUGUCAACCCACUUGGCCGAAGUCCACUUUAAGCACUUCCAUGCUAUUAAGAGAUGGUACUCGUGAAAUGGUGAAAACUCGGUUGAUUUGGGUGACUCGUGAAAUGGUGAAUGUGUUGGGAGCAGGAUUUGAUGGUUUAUUGGUGGCACUUUUGGAGCAAAUUGUUGGUGGUGAUUUUAGCUGAGGAAAUUUGUGGCUAUAUUUUGUUUUUGGUUAGUCUCUUUUAGGACAAAUAGGAUUGCUUAUUGGAGGAUGAACCUCUAGUUUUGACCGGUGCUUUUUGGAAUUUCGAAAGGCAGAAACAGGGGAGAUGCUUGCACCCAUUGCUGUUUCACUGUUGAUUUGAAUGAACCUUGAGCAAAGUAGAUUGUAGCAACCCGUGGCCUGAUAUGCAUCACUCUGCAAAUUUGAAGUCAGGGGAUGCAUAAGAAGCCAUUAUUGUCACUCAUCAGCUGAUAGUAAAUGAAACUCAUUUGAAAAGAACAAAUCUUUGAGCAACUUAUAGUCCUAUAGGUAAAAAGCCUUGUGUUGUUGUCAUCAUAAAGGUCCGGGCUUACCUGUUAGAAAUCACAUGCACCUUUCAAUUAGGCUAAAAUAGUGCAAAACGAAUAUUAAAAGUAUCUUGAUGUUUUACAUCAAUAUCACCACACAAGCAUUUCCUUAGUAGCACGUGUCAUGUAGAAAUUGAAAUAGUUUUAGUAAAAAAUAUCAUAUUUGCCAGCCCACUUCAAUGCUGUUAAGAUCUUUACUAAAAGAACCACCCAAUAUCCAUAGUUGAGACAAGCUGAACUAGAGGUUCAUUUUUUGGCUGAUCAUUGUAGGCUUUUCUUUGUUUCUCCUUUAUAUAACACUACUGUUGUACAUUUGAGAGGGUUCCUCAAAUUACAGAUAAAGCUUUCUAUACCUAAAUUUCUGCUAAAAGUGUUCCUUGUCAGUCUUGGUUCUUAGGUGUCAAUUGUUUAGAUGUUGAGCAACUUUGCAUGCUUUGUUUAAGCCGUUUAGCGCUUUUUUUGUUGGUACUCUCUUUUCCUUUCAUUUCAUCAGCUGCUUUGCUUUCAUUUCAGUGAUAUAGUUUGCACGUUGUGCAUGUAUUAAAGUAUAUAUACUUUCUCUAUUUCGCUGCUCUAAUUUCCAAUUGUUGUGUGCCAAGUUUGAAGACUAUUGUAAAGCUUAGGUCCCCCAAAGGCCAAACCGAUGAGAUUUGUAACAAAGCCCACUCUUACCACGAGAGAAAGAAAGCAGAACCUUGGUUCGCACUGCACAAUGUGCAACUGCAGUUAUUCUAUUCUUUUCCAAUGUUCAAGUAACCCUCAUAUGCGCUCUUAGCGUAAGUUAUGCAGUCUUGGUUUUGCAUGCUUCGUUCAGAAAACAAUCUACGCGAAGUGACAGAAACAGGAGGAGCAGUAAAAGAUGAGGAGAAACAAUGAAGUGUUGAAGAUUACUGUCAGUACAUUGUAGCUGGCCAGACUGCCCAGACCAUAUCUGCUUGCUGAACCUAUUAGCUAUAUGUCCUGCAGAUACUAGUGUCCAAUUUUAUCAAAUCACAAACUAGGUUCGAUUCAUCUGUUCUUUUCUACCUCUCUCUUCUCACGGGUACUCAGUUAUCGACUAGUUUAUAUUUUGGGAAGGAUAUGUAUUGGCCAUUACUAGAACUGAUUAUGUGGGAUUUGGGACCCAACAUUUGUGAUUCACUUUUGUUUUGAUUAAUUUAUAGAUGUGUUAUGCCCAAA
Non-coding RNA from Coffea arabica (coffee), 2312 nucleotides. NCBI's taxonomy places the organism in Eukaryota, Viridiplantae, Streptophyta, Magnoliopsida, Gentianales, Rubiaceae. The record is from RefSeq and is a predicted model, not a curated record.